CCUACGGGGGGCAGCAGUGGGGAAUAUUGGACAAUGGGGGCAACCCUGAUCCAGCCAUGCCGCGUGUGUGAAGAAGGCCCUCGGGUUGUAAAGCACUUUCAGUGAGGAAGAACGCCUGGUGGUUAAUACCCAUCAGGAAAGACAUCACUCACAGAAGAAGCACCGGCUAACUCCGUGCCAGCAGCCGCGGUAAUACGGAGGGUGCGAGCGUUAAUCGGAAUUACUGGGCGUAAAGCGCGCGUAGGUGGCUUGAUAAGCCGGUUGUGAAAGCCCCGGGCUCAACCUGGGAACGGCAUCCGGAACUGUCAAGCUAGAGUGCAGGAGAGGAAGGUAGAAUUCCCGGUGUAGCGGUGAAAUGCUUAGAGAUCGGGAGGAAUACCAGUGGCGAAGGCGGCCUUCUGGACUGACACUGACACUGAGGUGCGAAAGCGUGGGUAGCAAACAGGAUUAGAUACCCUAGUAGUC
Molecule: ribosomal RNA, 465 nt
Filed under: Vreelandella stevensii
Lineage: Bacteria; Pseudomonadati; Pseudomonadota; Gammaproteobacteria; Oceanospirillales; Halomonadaceae
Description: partial 16S ribosomal RNA
Rfam family: Bacterial small subunit ribosomal RNA
Source: RNAcentral